UACGGAGGGUGCAAGCGUUGUUCGGAAUUACUGGGCGUAAAGCGCACGUAGGCGGGUUUGUAAGUCGAUUGUGAAAGCCCCGGGCUCAAUCCGGGAACUGCAGUCGAAACUACAAGUCUUGAAUGCUCUAGAGGGUGACGGAAUUCCUGGUGUAGAAGUGAAAUUCGUAGAUAUCAGGAGGAACACCGGAGGCGAAGGCGGUUGCCUGGAGAUGCAUUGACGCUGAGGUGCGAAAGCGUGGGGAGCAAAC
This 250-nucleotide ribosomal RNA is filed under the name uncultured bacterium. RNAcentral's name for it is "partial 16S ribosomal RNA". It matches the Rfam family "Bacterial small subunit ribosomal RNA", at positions 524 to 773 of the family's 1533-position model. The record is from RNAcentral.